UGAGGAAUAUUGGACAAUGGGCGAAAGCCUGAUCCAGCAACGCCGCGUGGAGGAUGACGGCCCUUGGGUUGUAAACUCCUUUUCUGGGGGAAGAGUAAGGACGGUACCUCAGGAAUAAGGCCCGGCUAACUACGUGCCAGCAGCCGCGGUAAUACGUAGGGGCCAAGCGUUAUCCGGAAUUAUUGGGCGUAAAGCGCACGCAGGCGGCAUAUCAAGUUUGGUGUGAAAACUCCCGGCUCAACUGGGAGAGGUCGCUGAAUACUGAUGUGCUUGAGGCAGUGAGAGGGGUGUAGAAUUCCCGGUGUAGUGGUGGAAUGCGUAGAUAUCGGGAGGAAUACCAGUGGCGAAGGCGACACCCUGGCACUGUACUGACGCUCAUGUGCGAAAGCGUGGGGAGCGAACGGGAUUAGAUACCCCCGUAGUCC
Molecule: ribosomal RNA, 425 nt
Filed under: uncultured prokaryote
Description: bacterial SSU rRNA
Rfam family: Bacterial small subunit ribosomal RNA
Source: RNAcentral